GGGGAAUUUUCCGCAAUGGGCGAAAGCCUGACGGAGCAAGACCGCGUGAGGGAGGAAGGCUCUUGGGUUGUGAACCUCUUUUCUCAGGGAAGAAAAAAAUGACGGUACCUGAGGAAUCAGCCUCGGCUAACUCCGUGCCAGCAGCCGCGGUAAUACGGAGGAGGCAAGCGUUAUCCGGAAUUAUUGGGCGUAAAGCGUCCGCAGGUGGCUCGCUCAAGUCUGCUGUCAAAGACCGGGGCUUAACUCCGGAAAGGCAGUGGAAACUGACAAGCUAGAGGGCUCUAGGGGUAGAGGGAAUUCCCGGUGUAGCGGUGAAAUGCGUAGAGAUCGGGAAGAACAUCGGUGGCGAAAGCGCUCUACUGGAGAGCAACUGACACUCAGGGACGAAAGCUAGGGGAGCGAAUGGGAUUAGAUACCCCAGUAGUC
RNAcentral lists this ribosomal RNA (426 nucleotides) under uncultured Microcoleus sp. Its description in RNAcentral is "bacterial SSU rRNA". It matches the Rfam family "Bacterial small subunit ribosomal RNA", at positions 356 to 795 of the family's 1533-position model. The record is from RNAcentral. Lineage: Bacteria; Bacillati; Cyanobacteriota; Cyanophyceae; Oscillatoriales; Microcoleaceae.